Molecule: ribosomal RNA, 403 nt
Filed under: uncultured bacterium
Lineage: Bacteria
Description: partial 16S ribosomal RNA
Rfam family: Bacterial small subunit ribosomal RNA
Source: RNAcentral
AUUGAACGCUGGCGGCAGGCCUAACACAUGCAAGUCGAGCGAGCGGCGGACGGGUGAGUAAUGUCUGGGGACUGCCCGAUAGAGGGGGAUAACUACUGGAAACGGUGGCUAAUACCGCAUACUAUCGGAUAACCCAUAUGGGAUUAGCUAGUAGGUGGGGUAAAGGCUCACCUCGGCGCCGAUCACUAGCUGGUCUGAGAGGAUGAACAGCAACAAUGGGACUUCGACACGGCCCAGACUCCUACGGAUGAAGCAUUGGGGAAUAUUGCAAAAUGGGCGCAAGCCUGAUGCAGCCAUGCCGCGUGUAUGAAGAAGGCCUUAGGGUUGGAAAGUACUUUCAGCGGGGAGGCGUUACCCGCAGAAGAAGCACCGGCUAACUCCGUGCCAGCCGCCGCGGUAAUUC